AACGAACGCUGGCGGCAGGCUUAACACAUGCAAGUCGAACGCCCCGCAAGGGAAGUGGCAGACGGGUGAGUAACGCGUGGGAAUCUACCCAUCUCUGCGGAAUAGCUCCGGGAAACUGGAAUUAAUACCGCAUACGCCCUACGGGGGAAAGAUUUAUCGGGGAUGGAUGAGCCCGCGUUGGAUUAGCUAGUUGGUGGGGUAAAGGCCUACCAAGGCGACGAUCCAUAGCUGGUCUGAGAGGAUGAUCAGCCACAUUGGGACUGAGCCACGGCCCAAACUCCUACGGGAGGCGGCAGUGGGGAAUAGUGGACAAUGGGCGCAAGCCUGAUCCAGCCAUGCCGCGUGAGUGAUGAAGGCCUUAGGGUUGUAAAGCUCUUUCACCGGUGAAGAUAUGACGGUAACCGGAGAAGAAGCCCCGGCUAACUUCGUGCCAGCCGCCGCGGUAA
RNAcentral lists this ribosomal RNA (446 nucleotides) under uncultured bacterium. Its description in RNAcentral is "partial 16S ribosomal RNA". It matches the Rfam family "Bacterial small subunit ribosomal RNA", at positions 29 to 523 of the family's 1533-position model. The record is from RNAcentral.